AGUGAACGCUGGCGGUAGGCCUAACACAUGCAAGUCGAACGGCAGCACAGUAAGAGCUUGCUCUUACGGGUGGCGAGUGGCGGACGGGUGAGGAAUACAUCGGAAUCUACUUUUUCGUGGGGGAUAACGUAGGGAAACUUACGCUAAUACCGCAUACGACCUACGGGUGAAAGCAGGGGAUCUUCGGACCUUGCGCGAUUGAAUGAGCCGAUGUCGGAUUAGCUAGUUGGCGGGGUAAAGGCCCACCAAGGCGACGAUCCGUAGCUGGUCUGAGAGGAUGAUACGCCACACGGGACUUGAACCACGGCCCGGACCCCGACGGGAGCCCGCAGUGGGGAUUUUUGAACAAUGGGCGCAAGCUUGACCGACCCUUCCCGGGUGGGUGAAAAAGCCCUUCGGGUUCUAAAGCCUUUUUUUGGGAAAAAAAAACAAGCGGUUAAAUCCCCCGUUUUUCUGAGGUUACCAAAAAAAAAAGCCCCGGCCAACUUCGUC
RNAcentral lists this ribosomal RNA (492 nucleotides) under uncultured bacterium. RNAcentral describes it as "partial 16S ribosomal RNA". It matches the Rfam family "Bacterial small subunit ribosomal RNA", at positions 29 to 507 of the family's 1533-position model. The record is from RNAcentral.